This 384-nucleotide ribosomal RNA is filed under the name uncultured eukaryote. RNAcentral's name for it is "SSU rRNA". It matches the Rfam family "Eukaryotic small subunit ribosomal RNA", at positions 587 to 972 of the family's 1831-position model. The record is from RNAcentral.
AGCUCCAAUAGCGUAUAUUAAAGUUGUUGCAGUUAAAAAGCUCGUAGUUGGAUUUCUGGUAGGAGCGACCGUGCCGAACUUGAUUGUUCGUGUAUUGUGUUGUCUUCAGCCAUCCUCGUGGAGAACUUUUCUAACAUUAACUUGUUGGGAUUGGGACCCGCGUCGUUUACUGUGAAAAAAUUAGAGUGUUUAAAGCAGGCAUUAGCUUGAAUACAUUAGCAUGGAAUAAUAAGAUAGGACUUUGGUACUAUUUUGUUGGUUUGCAUACCAAAUUAAUGAUCAACAGGAACAGUUUGAGGAUAUUCGUAUGAACAUGUCAGAGGUGAAAUUCUUGGAUUUUGAUCAGACGAACUACUGCGAAAGCAUUUAUCAAGGAUGUUUUCA